This 389-nucleotide ribosomal RNA is filed under the name uncultured bacterium. RNAcentral's name for it is "bacterial SSU rRNA". It matches the Rfam family "Bacterial small subunit ribosomal RNA", at positions 28 to 417 of the family's 1533-position model. The record is from RNAcentral.
GACGAACGCUGGCGGCGUGCUUAACACAUGCAAGUCGAGCGGUAAGGCCCUUUCGGGGGUACGACGAGCGGCGAACGGGUGAGUAACACGUGGGUGACCUGCCCUCAGCUCUGGGAUAAGCCUGGGAAACCGGGUCUAAUACUGGAUAUGACUCCAUGACGCAUGUUGUGGGGUGGAAAGCCUUGUGCGGCUGAGGAUGGGCCCGCGGCCUAUCAGCUUGUUGGUGGGGUGANGGCCUACCAAGGCGACGACGGGUAGCCGGCCUGAGAGGGCGACCGGCCACACUGGGACUGAGACACGGCCCAGACUCCUACGGGAGGCAGCAGUGGGGAACCUUGCGCAAUGGGCGAAAGCCUGACGCAGCGACGCCGCGUGAGGGAUGACGGCCU